Molecule: RNA transcript, 1121 nt
Organism: Papaver somniferum (opium poppy)
Lineage: Eukaryota; Viridiplantae; Streptophyta; Magnoliopsida; Ranunculales; Papaveraceae
Exons: 4
Source: RefSeq, a predicted model, not a curated record
AUCAUCCAUUUAAAAACCCUUCUUUUGCUCUCUGUCAGUCUCAUAUACCCAUGAUUUGCAAUAUCAGCUACAACCAAAUUAACGUAUCUUAUUCAAUGUGACAGUUCAUUCUUCGUACUUCAUAUGAAUAUUUCUUUUUUUUCUUUUGUCAUUCCCUUUUAAUAUAGUGAUACUACACUCUAUAUUGAAUAUUAGUUCAAAUAUUGCAAUCUGGUCUCUUAUAAUUUUUUGUCAGUGUGGCAUGCAUAUAUGGCAAGUGUUAUAUGGAUAUCAAUAUCUGCUAGCUUAAAAAUGAUACAUAUAUUAUUUAUGGCAACCAGUCAACAAUCUUUUUUUAUUUCUUGGAUAUCGAAUCAGUGCUAUGAGUCACUGGCUGUUGGUUAUGACAAAAAUUACAUGUGUACAUAUUGGUACACCUGUAAAAUAAGUGUGCAUUGUUGUGUACACGUGACAAAAAUUACAUGUGUAAAUAAUAGUGCACCUGUAAUACAAGUGUACAUUAUCGUGCACAUGUGAUAAAUUUCAAGCUGGUGGACAGUGGACAUUAUCGCAUAAGAUUACAAUGGCUGGUUAUGGGUGUGGAUGGUCUAGUGCUCAUGCAACUUUCUGGUACUAUGGUCAGGAACAACAAAUGCAGAACUUUUGAGGGCCUCACUUAGUCCAGUAGAGUACAUUGCCUCACUGUUUAACUCAGAAGAUGAGUUGAAGAUGAUAGAGGAGGUUGUGAGCACAUUUUCUUUUGAAAUCACCUUAUGUUGCUAUGCUUGCAUUCCAAGAUGCUGCAACACGGUGCAAGGGGUAAACAUGUUGGUGUAUCAGAGUAACUCUCAUGAAGAAGUAGGUCCGAGUGGGUGUAUGAGUGACUAUUUUCAUGCAUGUUUUGUAGAUGUGUACAAAAUGGUGCACAUGUGAAAAACUGAUUGCAUAAGCUUAUGAAUUUUUGUACACAGUUAAUUGAGCGAUAGUUAAAUUUUUUAAAAACUCAAAAUUGUAUAGACAUAUGGGUACUCUUUUUGUAGAUUUCGGAAAGAGCUUUCCAAAUAUGUAAAGUUUGUGAAUUUUUGAUGAACGGUGUGAAAGAUAAAUCAUUUUUAAAUAUUUUUUAUAUUAUUAAAAUUGCU